Molecule: small nucleolar RNA, 107 nt
Filed under: Jatropha curcas
Lineage: Eukaryota; Viridiplantae; Streptophyta; Magnoliopsida; Malpighiales; Euphorbiaceae
Description: Plant small nucleolar RNA R71
Rfam family: Plant small nucleolar RNA R71
About the family: R71 is a member of the C/D box family of snoRNAs containing the C (UGAUGA) and D (CUGA) box motifs. Multiple nearly identical copies of this snoRNA have been identified in Arabidopsis, and it is thought to function as a 2'-O-ribose methylation guide for 18S ribosomal RNA.
Source: Rfam by way of RNAcentral
AAACUAUGGUGAGGGCAUUUUCUUAACAAAUCUUUAAAUCUUUCCCAAGCUUCAUACAUGCUUUCUUGAUCAUGAUGAACGAAAGUCGUGAUCUCAUUUCUCAAUUU